AUGCUCUGUAGUCGAAAGGUCCGCCGCCGUAGGAUGGGUCUGCGGCCGAUUAGGUUGUUGUUGGGGUAACGGCCCAACAAGCCUGUAAUCGGUACGGGUUGUGGGAGCAAGAGCCCGGAGAUGGAUUCUGAGACACGAAUCCAGGCCCUACGGGGCGCAGCAGGCGCGAAAACUUUACAAUGCGGGAAACCGUGAUAAGGGAACUCCGAGUGCCCGUUAAAUCGGGCUGUCCAUCUGUUUAAAUAACAGGUGAAGAAAGGGCCGGGCAAGACCGGUGCCAGCCGCCGCGGUAAUACCGGCGGCUCGAGUGGUGGCCACUAUUACUGGGCUUAAAGCGUUCGUAGCUGGUCUGUUAAGUCUCUGGGGAAAUCUUCCGGCUUAACCGGAAGGCGUCUCAGGGAUACUGGCAGACUAGGGACCGGGAGAGGUGAGAGGUACUCCAGGGGUAGGAGUGAAAUCCUGUAAUCCUUGGGGGACCACCUGUGGCGAAGGCGUCUCACCAGAACGGCUCCGACAGUGAGGGACGAAAGCUGGGGGAGCAAACCGGAUUAGAUACCCGGGUAGUCCCAGCUGUAAACGAUGCGCGUUAGGUGUAUCGGUGACCACGAGUCACCGAGGUGCCGAAGAGAAAUCGUGA
Molecule: ribosomal RNA, 637 nt
Filed under: uncultured archaeon
Lineage: Archaea
Description: bacterial SSU rRNA
Rfam family: Archaeal small subunit ribosomal RNA
Source: RNAcentral